GCGAAGUCAGUGGCGGCAGGCGCGGGAAUAGGGAGGGUGCAAGGGGUGGUCGGAGUUACUGGGCGUAAAGCGAGCGCGGGCGGCAAGGUAAGGAAGGGGUGAAAUCUACCGGCUCAACGGGUAGGGUGCAGUUUAGACUGCGUUGCUUGAGGUCGGUAGAGGGGGGUGGAAUUGCUGGUGUAGCGGUGAAAUGCGUAGAGAUCAGCAGGAACACCCGUGGCGAAGGCGGCCCCCUGGGCCGUACCUGACGCUGAGGCGCGAAGGCUAGGGGAGCGAACGGGAUUAGAUACCCUGGUAGUC
Molecule: ribosomal RNA, 300 nt
Filed under: uncultured Pyrobaculum sp.
Lineage: Archaea; Thermoproteati; Thermoproteota; Thermoprotei; Thermoproteales; Thermoproteaceae
Description: bacterial SSU rRNA
Rfam family: Bacterial small subunit ribosomal RNA
Source: RNAcentral